UACGAAGGGGGCUAGCGUUGCUCGGAAUGACUGGGCGUAAAGGGCGCGUAGGCGGUUUGGCCAGUCAGAUGUGAAAUUCCUGGGCUCAACCUGGGGGCUGCAUUUGAUACGUUCGGACUAGAGUGGGGAAGAGGGUCGUGGAAUUCCCAGUGUAGAGGUGAAAUUCGUAGAUAUUGGGAAGAACACCGGUGGCGAAGGCGGCGACCUGGUCCUUGACUGACGCUGAGGCGCGAAAGCGUGGGGAGCAAACAGG
RNAcentral lists this ribosomal RNA (253 nucleotides) under uncultured bacterium. Its description in RNAcentral is "partial 16S ribosomal RNA". It matches the Rfam family "Bacterial small subunit ribosomal RNA", at positions 524 to 776 of the family's 1533-position model. The record is from RNAcentral.